GGCUCAGAGCGAACGCUGGCGGCAGGCCUAACACAUGCAAGUCGAACGGAUCCUUCGGGAUUAGUGGCGGACGGGUGAGUAACACGUGGGAACGUGCCUUUUGGUUCGGAACAACUCAGGGAAACUUGAGCUAAUACCGGAUAAGCCUUUCGAGGGAAAGAUUUAUCGCCAUUGGAGCGGCCCGCGUAGGAUUAGCUAGUUGGUGGGGUAAAGGCCCACCAAGGCUACGAUCCUUAGCUGGUCUGAGAGGAUGAUCAGCCACAUUGGGACUGAGACACGGCCCAAACUCCUACGGGAGGCAGCAGUGGGGAAUCUUGCGCAAUGGGCGAAAGCCUGACGCAGCCAUGCCGCGUGAAUGAUGAAGGUCUUAGGAUUGUAAAAUUCUUUCACCGGGGACGAUAAUGACGGUACCCGGAGAAGAAGCCCCGGCUAACUUCGUGCCAGCAGCCGCGGUAAUACGAAGGGGGCUAGCGUUGCUCGGAAUUACUGGGCGUAAAGGGAGCGUAGGCGGAUAGUUUAGUCAGAGGUGAAAGCCCAGGGCUCAACCUUGGAAUUGCCUUUGAUACUGGCUAUCUUGAGUACGGAAGAGGUAUGUGGAACUCCGAGUGUAGAGGUGAAAUUCGUAGAUAUUCGGAAGAACACCAGUGGCGAAGGCGACAUACUGGUCCGUUACUGACGCUGAGGCUCGAA
RNAcentral lists this ribosomal RNA (690 nucleotides) under Caulobacter henricii. Its description in RNAcentral is "bacterial SSU rRNA". It matches the Rfam family "Bacterial small subunit ribosomal RNA", at positions 21 to 757 of the family's 1533-position model. The record is from RNAcentral. Lineage: Bacteria; Pseudomonadati; Pseudomonadota; Alphaproteobacteria; Caulobacterales; Caulobacteraceae.